AUUGAACGCUGGCGGCAGGCUUAACACAUGCAAGUCGAGCGAGCGGCGGACGGGCGAGUAAUGUCUGGGCCACUGCCCGAUGGAGGGGGAUAACUACUGGAAACGGUAGCUAAUACCGCAUACCAUCAGAUGUGCCCAGGUGGGAUUAGCUAGUGGGUGGGGUAAUGGCUCCCCUAGGCGACGAUCCCUAGCUGGUCUGAGAGGAUGACCGGCCACACUGGAACUGAGACACGGUCCAGACUCCUACGGGAGGCAGCAGUGGGGAAUAGUGGACAAUGGGCGCAAGCCUGAUGCAGCCAUGCCGCGUGUGGGAAGAAGGCCUUCGGGUUGUAAAGCACUUUCAGCGGGGAGGCGUUACUCGCAGAAGAAGCACCGGCUAACUCCGUGCCAGCAGCCGCGGUAAUAC
This 406-nucleotide ribosomal RNA is filed under the name uncultured bacterium. RNAcentral describes it as "partial 16S ribosomal RNA". It matches the Rfam family "Bacterial small subunit ribosomal RNA", at positions 29 to 526 of the family's 1533-position model. The record is from RNAcentral.